UAAUAUUAAACAUACCAAAAAAUAAAUAAAUAAAAAUAAAAUUAUUGUAGAAGUAUUUUGAAGCCUAAGAUGAUAGUAUUUUCUUUUAGAGAGGAUUUUAAUGGUUCUCCCAGAUGCAUAGUGAGCACUAGCCAUUUGGAACCAGUUUAAUCCAAGCUCAAGGCUUGAGGUUUUCUGGGUCAUCAGAUGAGGUAAAGCUGGACUACAAGUCCAGGCAAUGGUUAUUUUAUUUGUAGUUUACUCUGACUUACCCUAAGGGUGGAGUUAUAGCUCAGCUUAAAGUAAGAACUAUUUUUAUCUUUGUCUUUGGUGAGCAUAGACUUCCAUCUUCUGACUUUCUGAGGCUGCUAAAACUGCAGUUCUGUUUCACAGUUGUUUCUUCUGAAUCAGCAGAUACCUCAGGGUACCUAGGCUUAAUUCUUGGGCUUCUCAUGUUCUCCAAGUGUUCAUCUGACAUUCUCUCCUGGGCUUCUUGACUUUUUGGUGUUUUAAGAUUUUAAAAUAAUAUUCUGUUCAGUUUUUUAAAGUAUAAUUGUAUUGCAUUAAAAUGUUAUACUUGUACUACAUAAAAGUGUAACUUUGGACAUUCUGGUUUUAAAUCCUACAUAUUACAUGUCAUUUGAGAGAAAUGCAUCUUUCUGGAUUUUAACUUUGUUCCAUCUUUUAGGUCAAUGAUUAAAACAUGCUUUGCUUCUACUGCCUUGCAGGGAGACUGAAUGUGGCACUUUGCCAUAUCUGUGGUCCUGAUAAAAUUAUAUGGAUACAAUCUUCUACUAACAGAAGUGUUUGGCUUAGUGGUAGCUGGAUCUGUAUUAAUAUUCAGGGUAUUAAUUGGUGAUUGGAUCAACAGGAAACCAAGAAAAAAAGGAGGUUUGGCAAGGCAUUCUCUGAAAGCACAGCACUGAAAAGGCUAACUUAUUUAAAAUCUGGACUGUUGGUCCUUAGGCCAUAUUGAUAACUUCAGUCACAAAUUAAAGAAGAGUGUGAUAUAUCAGUAGAAAAAUUUGGUCAUGUCUUGCUCUUCAUUCAGAAUGCCUCUAUCACCACCUGCUGUGCGGUCCUGAUGCUUGUGUUCUCAUACAGAAGGGAGCUGGAGCAAGUAUGGCAAGGCUGGUUCACUGUCUUUGGUCCUUUGACCUCACUGUGACCCAGCUUCCUCAGGAGAACAUUCUGGAACAGAGCGAGGGGCUGUGAACGGUGUGCAGUGUUCCCUGAACUACCUCAUGGACCUCAUCCACUUCGUCCUGGUCGUGCUGGCCCCGCAGCGUGUUCGGCAUGCUGGUCUUCACCUCCAUCCUGUUUGUAACCACGGGCCAAGUGCUGUAUUUUUUUAAUGCAAGGAAGUGUAAGAUUACAAAUGCCCAUGCUCAGAAGACAGCGGAGAAGAGCACGUCAACCUGAGAGGCUCGGGACGCGCAGGCUCAGCGGCCAUGGCUCACGGGCCCAGCUGCUCCGCGGCAUGUGGGACCCUCCCGGACCGGGGCACGAACCCGCUUCCCCCGCAUCGGCAGGCGGACUCCCAACCACUGCGCCAGCAGGGAAGCCCAACGCCAGACCUUUUGAAGAGCCCAACCGCCGGGCGAAGUGGCAACUGGAAGGCACUUGUGGCGGGGGAGGUCUGUGUGGGCGAAAUUCCCUCCGUUUCUUGCCAACAUCGGAAUUAACACUGCUCCGCUCUGCAGCUUAAAAGUGUUUCAGGCCCGUGAUCUUAACCCGCUUUCCUAAACUGGCCGUUCCGGGGUCGUCAGAGCCACCGGGCUGGCGGGGGCCCCGCGUGCGCCUAGAACACGGACACCGUCCCGGGCUAGCGCGCCUCCGUCCUGGGUGAUGUCCAACGGCUCAUCUUUCUCAAAGAAGAGCAAGUCCAUCAGAAGGCUGUAAGCUGCGAAGAUUCGUGUUCUUUUUCUACCCUCGCUGCCCAGGAUCAGUAUAAGAUCUUACCUUUUCUUCUGACUUCUAUGCUGGAUGAGGCCCACGUCCCUGUCUGGGGUCUCUCCUUAUCUCCAGAGCCAGCCUCUGACUCACCUGCUCUCUCCAGCACCUCACUUUUGCGCUCCUACAGCCUCCUUUCUUUUGACUUAGUUCCACCUCAUUUUUGAAUUCACCCUGACUAAAGUUUCCAUCCUGGUUGAAAAGGGUUGUUGGAAGAGAGAAUCUGCCUUGGGCACUGGGCCUCCCCAUCUGUUCUUUCUGAGCAUGCCAAGAAUGCAAGGCCCCGAUGGCUCUUUGUCCAGGCCAUUAUUCAGGGUUAUGUGUGCAGCAGGCGACCUUCAGGGAAGAGGCCGUGCCUUCUCCCAGACACAGGCUUGCUACUGCUCACUACAAAAACAAUGAGUCCCUCCAGGUCCGUGUUCCUCUCCCACGACAAUCCUCUGCAUGUGCAGGCAUCCUGGAUGGGUCCUUUGUGUCAUCACUGUGGGAUUCGGGGGACAUGGGGAACCACUGCAAACCAGCACAAACUCUGGCUACUUCUUUUGCCACAUGUAAUAAAAUCCUCAGUCUCUGGCCAAGAGGCUCAUGCCUUUUACCAGUGUCCACGAAAGAGUAACUUGCAAGCUUGGAAAUGGGGUAAAACUUUAGACCCUGCACAGUUUGUACACGGGCCUCUCACUGUUUGUGGCCUCUCCCGUUGGGGAGCACAGGCUCCGGACACGCAGGCUCAGCAGCCAUGGCUCACGGUCUCGGCUGCUCCGCAGCAUGUGGGAUCUUCCCGGACCGGGGCACAAACCCACGUCCCCUGCAUCGGCAGGCGGGCUCUCAACCACUGCGCCACCAGGGAAGCCCCCUGUACAGUUUUUAACAAGUGUUACCUCUAAGCCUCUAACUCCAACCUACCAUUUGAUGUCGCCAGGUAACCAUGCUUCUUCCUAUGUCCUGAAUGGUGCUGAGCACUCUUUUUUUCUAUUAUAUCCUUUCCCACCCCCCAGCUACCACCAUUGUUGGCCUGCUUCAGUUCUCUUCUAGGGUUAAGCUGAGUAUUCUCCAAUUAUUUCCUGUCCUGGCAUCCUACCCCUUAAACUCAACUUUGAACAUUCUCUAGGGAACCCAGUGUGAGCUGUUGCUCAGAUUUCAUCUGAUCUGUUUACUUGCCUGCCUGCAUGUCCAGGCCCUGGUGUGGCUUAGUCUGCCUAACUGGACCCUUCCAUGCUUGCCCAAAGGUCCCUAAGUCAUCCCUAAUGCCUUGACCUGGAACCAGCAGUCACGGCAAGUAGUCCUGCCUUUCAGUUGGCUAAUAAUAAGAGCUGACAUUUAUAGAGCACCUACUACGUACCACCUAAGACUCACCCAAGAGUCCGUAGCUAGUGAGAGCUGCAAAGCUAAGGUUUGCCCCUGUAGUCUGAUUCCAUGUGCUAUAGUGCCUCCUGCUGGGAGGAACUUUCAUUCAUAUGUCUUGCCCUCAUUUCUAACUCUUGACCUAUCUUUAUUAGAAAGGAAACCAUUUUGGGACUUCCCCGGUGGCACAGUGGCUUAGACUCUGUGUUCCCAGUGCUGAGGCUCUGGGUUCAAUCCCUGGUCAGGGAACUAGACCCCGUGUGCAUGCUGCAACAAAGACCCCACGUGCAUGCUGCAACAAAGAUCCUGUGUGCUGCAGCUAAGACCUGGUGCAGCAAAAUAAAGAAAGAAAAGAAAUCGUUUUAAAAUGCUAUUUGGUCAGUUACCUGAACAACCUGUCAACCUCCAUAAUCACUUUUUGAAAUCAAUAUUUUUGAAUAGCAGUGUUUCUCAGGGAAGAAUCUGACAAUGAAAUGAGAAUUUAAUUUAUCAAUAGGUCAAUGAGGAAAGGUCUGCAAAUCAAACCCAUUAUAUCUUGGCUUUAAUCCAGUUUUUGUAUAUUUUUAUGAAACAAUGGACAGGAUGGUGUAUAUAUGAAGUCCACGGGCCUUGAAUUUUAAGAGCCUGGAUCUGUUAAGUCUUAGCUAGAUGGCCUUCACCUCUGGGGACCUUGGGUUUUCCAUUUGUAGAAUGAAAACCAGAAGAUCUUUAGGUUUAUGUUCAGAUAUGAUUCUGUGUCUAACAAAGCAUGUUAACUCUCCCACAAUAGCAGAGCCCUUGUGCCAGGACUGUUAUAUUCCUCUUUUCCCUCUUUCCUUUCUUUUGUUUUUCCCUCCCUUCCCUUCCUUCCCCUUCCUUUUCUAUUUGUGUUAAUAUCACCAAAUACCAUCACCCAAACUUGAAAUCUCAUAGCUGAUUUGAAUUGCUGCCUUUCCAGUCAAUGUUUCGUUCGACAGGCCAUUCACAUCUUUACUUUCAUUUCUAUUCCCAGUGCCAUGUUCAAUUUUAUGUAUUUAUCACCUCAUAUUUCCACAUCUACUUUUUCUGGUUUGUUUUCUCU
This is a long non-coding RNA of Physeter macrocephalus (sperm whale), 4333 nucleotides long. RefSeq lists it as uncharacterized. Lineage: Eukaryota; Metazoa; Chordata; Mammalia; Artiodactyla; Physeteridae. The transcript has 7 exons. The record is from RefSeq and is a predicted model, not a curated record.